RNAcentral lists this ribosomal RNA (500 nucleotides) under uncultured bacterium. RNAcentral's name for it is "partial 16S ribosomal RNA". It matches the Rfam family "Bacterial small subunit ribosomal RNA", at positions 30 to 523 of the family's 1533-position model. The record is from RNAcentral.
AUUGAACGCUGGCGGCAUGCUUUACACAUGCAAGUCGAACGGCAGCACGGACUUCGGUCUGGUGGCGAGUGGCGAACGGGUGAGUAAUACAUCGGAACGUGCCCAGUUGUGGGGGAUAACUACUCGAAAGAGUAGCUAAUACCGCAUGAGAACUGAGGUUGAAAGCAGGGGAUCGUAAGACCUUGCGCAACUGGAGCGGCCGAUGGCAGAUUAGGUAGUUGGUGGGAUAAAAGCUUACCAAGCCGACGAUCUGUAGCUGGUCUGAGAGGACGACCAGCCACACUGGGACUGAGACACGGCCCAGACUCCUACGGGGGGCAGCAGUGGGGAAUUUUGGACAAUGGGCGAAAGCCUGAUCCAGCAAUGCCGCGUGCAGGAUGAAGGCCCUCGGGUUGUAAACUGCUUUUGUACGGAACGAAAAGCUUCGGGUUAAUACCCUGGAGUCAUGACGGUACCGUAAGAAUAAGCACCGGCUAACUACGUGCCAGCAGCCGCCGUAA